This 449-nucleotide ribosomal RNA is filed under the name uncultured bacterium. Its description in RNAcentral is "bacterial SSU rRNA". It matches the Rfam family "Bacterial small subunit ribosomal RNA", at positions 355 to 799 of the family's 1533-position model. The record is from RNAcentral.
UCGAGAAUCUUCCGCAAUGGGCGAAAGCCUGACGGAGCGACACCGCGUGCAGGACGAAGGCCCUCGGGUUGUAAACUGCUGUCACGCUCUAGGAAUCCCGUGUUGUGAAUAGCAGCACGGUUGACUAAGGCGAGAGGAAGUGGCGGCUAACUCUGUGCCAGCAGCCGCGGUAAGACAGAGGCCACGAACGUUGUUCGGAAUCACUGGGCAUAAAGCGCACGUAGGCGGCUAGGUCCGUCCGAUGUGAAAGCCCCCGGCUCAACCGGGGAAUAGCAUCGGAUACAGCUUGGCUUGAGGACGGUUGGGGUGAGUGGAACUCCUGGUGGAGCGGUGAAAUGCGUAGAUAUCAGGAGGAACACCGGUGGCGAAAGCGGCUCACUGGACCGUUACUGACGCUGAGGUGCGAAAGCUAGGGGAGCAAACGGGAUUAGAUACCCAAGUAGUCCCUG